AUACGUAGGUGGCGAGCGUUAUCCGGAAUUACUGGGUGUAAAGGGCGCGCAGGCGGGGAGACAAGUCAGAUGUGAAAUACCGGUGCUUAACACCGGGGCUGCAACUGAAACUGUUUUUCUUGAGUGUCGGAGAGGGAAGCGGAAUUCCCAGUGUAGCGGUGAAAUGCGUAGAUAUUGGGAGGAACACCAGUGGCGAAGGCGGCUUUCUGGACGACAACUGACGCUGAGGCGCGAAAGCGUGGGGAGCAAACAGGAUUAGAUACCCUGGUAGUCCACGCCGUAAACGAUGGAUACUAGGUGUAGGAGGUAUCGACCCCUUCUGUGCCGGAGUUAACACAAUAAGUAUCCCACCUGGGGAGUACGGCCGCAAGGUUGAA
This 377-nucleotide ribosomal RNA is filed under the name uncultured bacterium. Its description in RNAcentral is "bacterial SSU rRNA". It matches the Rfam family "Bacterial small subunit ribosomal RNA", at positions 523 to 898 of the family's 1533-position model. The record is from RNAcentral.